Molecule: long non-coding RNA, 219 nt
Filed under: Gossypium barbadense (sea-island cotton)
Lineage: Eukaryota; Viridiplantae; Streptophyta; Magnoliopsida; Malvales; Malvaceae
Description: long non-coding RNA (GBAR_LNC011795)
Source: RNAcentral
GUUUAUUAAAAACGACCACAUUUCGAGGUGACCCGAUCAUACCUCAGUAAAAAAAGAUUGGCGGCGACUCUCGUUUUUCCAUUUUUGUUUUAAAACCCUAGUCGAUUCCCUGUUCUUCAAAAAAAUGGUUUCGACACAUAGGAUAAUCAAUUAUCCUUUCUAUAUCCUCAUUAUUGUUUACCAUGAAUCUUUGAGAAUUUUUUCUUUACUGUUCAUCUU